This 449-nucleotide ribosomal RNA is filed under the name uncultured bacterium. RNAcentral's name for it is "bacterial SSU rRNA". It matches the Rfam family "Bacterial small subunit ribosomal RNA", at positions 330 to 797 of the family's 1533-position model. The record is from RNAcentral.
CCCAGACUCCUACGGGAGGCAGCAGUGGGGGAUAUUGCACAAUGGGGGAAACCCUGAUGCAGCGACGCCGCGUGAGUGAAGAAGUAUUUCGGUACGUAAAGCUCUAUCAGCAGGGAAGAAAAAAGACGGUACCUGACUAAGAAGCCCCGGCUAACUACGUGCCAGCAGCCGCGGUAAUACGUAGGGGGCAAGCGUUAUCCGGAUUUACUGGGUGUAAAGGGAGCGUAGACGGCAAUACAAGUCGGAAGUGAAAUACCCGGGCUCAACCUGGGAACUGCUUUGGAAACUGUAUGGCUGGAGUGCUGGAGAGGUAAGCGGAAUUCCUAGUGUAGCGGUGAAAUGCGUAGAUAUUAGGAGGAACACCAGUGGCGAAGGCGGCUUACUGGACUGUAACUGACGUUGAGGCUCGAAAGCGUGGGGAGCAAACAGGAUUAGAUACCCCUGUACCA